This 253-nucleotide ribosomal RNA is filed under the name uncultured bacterium. Its description in RNAcentral is "partial 16S ribosomal RNA". It matches the Rfam family "Bacterial small subunit ribosomal RNA", at positions 524 to 776 of the family's 1533-position model. The record is from RNAcentral.
CACGUAGGAGACGAGCGUUGUCCGGAAUCAUUGGGCGUAAAGAGCGCGCAGGCGGCUUGGCAAGUCGGGUGUGAAAUCCCGGGGCUCAACCCCGUGACUGCAUCCGAUACUGUCAGGCUAGAGGUAGGUAGGGGAGAUCGGAAUUCCUGGUGUAGCGGUGAAAUGCGCAGAUAUCAGGAGGAACACCGGUGGCGAAGGCGGUUCUCUGGGCCUUACCUGACGCUGAGGAGCGAAAGCGUGGGGAGCAAACAGG